UCCGAGCGUUAUCCGGAUUUAUUGGGUUUAAAGGGUGCGUAGGCGGCACUUUAAGUCAGGGGUGAAAGACGGCAGCUCAACUGUCGCAGUGCCCUUGAUACUGAAGUGCUUGAAUGCGGUUGAAGACGGCGGAAUGAGACAAGUAGCGGUGAAAUGCAUAGAUAUGUCUCAGAACACCGAUUGCGAAGGCAGCUGUCUAAGCCGUUAUUGACGCUGAUGCACGAAAGCGUGGGGAUCGAACAGGAUUAGAUACCCUGGUAGUCCACGCCCUAAACGAUGAUAACUCGAUGUUUGCGAUAUACCGUAAGCGUCCAAGCGAAAGCGUUAAGUUAUCCACCUGGGGAGUACGCCCGCAAGGGUGAAACUCAAAGGAAUUGACGGGGGCCCGCACAAGCGGAGGAGCAUGUGGUUUAAUUCGAUGAUACGCGAGGAACCUUACCCGGGCUUGAAAGUUACUGAAGCAUCCAGAGACGGAUGCGUCCUUCGGGACAGGAAACUAGGUGCUGCAUGGCUGUCGUCAGCUCGUGCCGUGAGGUGUUGGGUUAAGU
RNAcentral lists this ribosomal RNA (548 nucleotides) under Escherichia coli. RNAcentral's name for it is "bacterial SSU rRNA". It matches the Rfam family "Bacterial small subunit ribosomal RNA", at positions 533 to 1085 of the family's 1533-position model. The record is from RNAcentral. Lineage: Bacteria; Pseudomonadati; Pseudomonadota; Gammaproteobacteria; Enterobacterales; Enterobacteriaceae.